RNAcentral lists this long non-coding RNA (241 nucleotides) under Homo sapiens (human). RNAcentral's name for it is "non-protein coding lnc-RAVER2-2:1". The record is from RNAcentral. Lineage: Eukaryota; Metazoa; Chordata; Mammalia; Primates; Hominidae.
UGCUCCACCAGGUCCUUGGUCAGGCCAAGGAACUGAGUUUGAUCCCCCUCUUUGUAUUUAAUGGAGCUAGAGGUACCAGAGCAGCACUGUAUGUCUUGCAUCUGGCAUUUCAAUCCAGAUGUUAGUUGGGCCAGAAAGAAUGACCCAGGGCCCUGGAAUAAACUGGGUUCCAAUGAGCAAUACAAGUUCUACUCAGUGAAUGUGGAUUACAGUAAACUGAAGAAAGAUGGUCCAGAUUUCU